AGUGAAAUAGCAGUUCAUAUAUGAUCACUGAAGUUAAGAAACAUCAAACCUGGUCAGUACUUAGAUGGGUGACCUCUUGGGAAUGCCAGGUGCUGUAAG
Molecule: non-coding RNA, 99 nt
Organism: Acanthosepion pharaonis
Lineage: Eukaryota; Metazoa; Mollusca; Cephalopoda; Sepiida; Sepiidae
Source: the annotation of a GenBank genome assembly